Molecule: ribosomal RNA, 497 nt
Filed under: uncultured bacterium
Lineage: Bacteria
Description: partial 16S ribosomal RNA
Rfam family: Bacterial small subunit ribosomal RNA
Source: RNAcentral
GAUGAACGCUGGCGGCGUGCCUAAUACAUGCAAGUCGAGCGAACAGACGAGGAGCUUGCUCCUCUGACGUUAGCGGCGGACGGGUGAGUAACACGUGGAUAACCUACCUAUAAGACUGGGAUAACUUCGGGAAACCGGAGCUAAUACCGGAUAAUAUAUUGAACCGCAUGGUUCAAUAGUGAAAGACGGUUUUGCUGUCACUUAUAGAUGGAUCCGCGCCGCAUUAGCUAGUUGGUAAGGUAACGGCUUACCAAGGCAACGAUGCGUAGCCGACCUGAGAGGGUGAUCGGCCACACUGGAACUUGGACACGGUCCAGACUCCUACGGGAGGCAGCAGUAGGGAACCUUCCGCAAUGGGCGAAAGCCUUACGGAGCAACGCCGCGUGAGUGACAAAGGUCUUCGGAUCGUAAAACUCUGUUAUUGGUUAAGAACAAAUUUGUAAGUAACUAUGCCCGUCUUGACGGUACCUAAUCAGAAAGCCACGGCUAACUACGUG